AACGGCCAUACCAUGCUGAAUAUACCGGUUCUCGUUAGAUCACCGAAGUCAAGCAUCAUUGGGCGCGGUCAGUACUUGGGUGGGUGACCAUCUGGGAACACCGCGUGCCGU
Non-coding RNA from Caerostris darwini, 111 nucleotides. Lineage: Eukaryota; Metazoa; Arthropoda; Arachnida; Araneae; Araneidae. The record is from the annotation of a GenBank genome assembly.